Molecule: ribosomal RNA, 439 nt
Filed under: uncultured bacterium
Lineage: Bacteria
Description: partial 16S ribosomal RNA
Rfam family: Bacterial small subunit ribosomal RNA
Source: RNAcentral
CCUACGGGGGGCAGCAGUGGGGAAUAUUGCACAAUGGGGGAAACCCUGAUGCAGCGAUGCCGCGUGGAGGAAGAAGGUUUUCGGAUUGUAAACUCCUUUUAUCAGGGACGAUAAUGACGGUACCUGAAGAAAAAGCUCCGGCUAACUACGUGCCAGCAGCCGCGGUAAUACGUAGGGAGCGAGCGUUGUCCGGAUUUAUUGGGUUUAAAGGGUGCGUAGGCGGUCCGUUAAGUCAGCGGUAAAAUUGCGGGGCUCAACCCCGUCGAGCCGUUGAAACUGGCAGACUUGAGUUGGCGAGAAGUACGCGGAAUGCGCGGUGUAGCGGUGAAAUGCAUAGAUAUCGCGCAGAACUCCGAUUGCGAAGGCAGCGUACCGGCGCCAGACUGACGCUGAGGCACGAAAGCGUGGGGAUCGAACAGGAUUAGAUACCCGGGUAGUC